RNAcentral lists this unclassified non-coding RNA (834 nucleotides) under Bradyrhizobium sp. RNAcentral describes it as "partial 16S-23S ribosomal RNA intergenic spacer region". The stretch from base 182 to 255 matches the Rfam family "tRNA". Lineage: Bacteria; Pseudomonadati; Pseudomonadota; Alphaproteobacteria; Hyphomicrobiales; Nitrobacteraceae. The record is from RNAcentral.
GAAACAUCAGGGGCCAACAGAUCGCCAGAUCGUUGAGCUCCAUUGGCGGGAUUUCGCCGUCUACGUUUCUCUUUCUUCGCGGACGAACACGCGCCAGGGGCUGCGCUGUGCGAUUGCAUUCGGCGCUAGUCGCUGCCUGCUCGCGAGCAAGAUCCCUAGUCCUCCGAAGGAUAUGCGUUAGGGGCUUGUAGCUCAGUUGGUUAGAGCGCGCGCUUGAUAAGCGUGAGGUCGGAAGUUCAAGUCUUCCCAGGCCCACCACUUUCAUCGAGUGAGCAUUCGUCUUCUGGUUACGGGGCCAUAGCUCAGCUGGGAGAGCGCGUGCUUUGCAAGCAUGAGGUCGUCGGUUCGAUCCCGUCUGGCUCCACCAGAUGGUUUGAUUGCCGGCGCAGCUUGUACCUAAAUCGUCCGCGAAACAUCACUUCGCACCCACUCGUCCGGAUGGACGGUGAGGUUGCGUGUUUUCUGACAUCGUAAAGAGGAGAUCGAUCCGAGUUGGGUCGUGCAGCAAUUGUUGCGCGGGCCUUCAUUAUCUCCGGAUCAUUUCGGCGCUCGCUUUCGGCCGUGAGGUUGAUUGCGGGUUGUAAAUGAUCCUUUUAGCGAAGCUUGACCGCCUCGCUAUCGGAACGAUCUUACGAAGCAAGCUGGUCUUUCUAGUCAAUGUCCGGCUGCGACAAUCGCAUUCAUCGAGGAUGCGUGCCUUCAAUGGCUGUUGCGCAGACAACAUUCUGCCGAGUGUGUGGACAUUGAUAAUGAGAGCAAUCAAGUGCCUUAAGGGUGUUCGGUGGAUGCCUUGGCGCUGAGAGGCGAUGAAGGACGUGCUACGCUGCGAUAAGC